GAACCAUGCUAGGACUAAAUUCACAGUAUGGAAGUGCUUUCAUUAUCUUGUGCUUAUUUUUUUUUUUAUUUUAUUUUAUAAAUGUUAUAAAAUAACAUUUUAUUUUAUUUUAUAACAUUUAUAAUAUUAUAAAAUAAAAUAUAUAUAUACACACAUACACACACACACACACACACACACACCACAUUUUCUUUAUUCAUUCAUCUAUUGAAGGGCACGUAGGCUGGUUCUGGAGUUUAGCUCUUGUGAAUUAAGCUGCUAUAAACAUUGAUGUGGCUAUAAAAUGCUGAUUUUAAGUCCUUUGGGUAUAAACCCAGGGGUGGGAUAGCUGAGUGAAAUGGUGGUUCCACUGCAAGUUUUCUAAGGAAUCUCCAUACUGCUUUCCAGAGUGGUUGCACCAAUUUGCAGUCCCACCAGCAAUAUAUGAGUGUGCCUUUUCUCCCACAUCCUUGCCAACACUUAUUGUUGUUUGUGUUCUUAACAGAUGACAUUCUGACUGGAGUGAGAUGAAAUCUUACAGUGGUUUUGAUUUGCUUUUCUGUGAUUGCUAGAGAUGUUGAACAUUUUUUCAUAUAUUUGUUGGUUGAUUGUAUAUCACCUUCUGAGAAGUGUCUGUUCAGUUCCUUGGCCCAUUUAUUAGGUUAAUUGUUUUUUUUGGUGUUAAGGUUUUUGAGUUCUUUAUAUAUUCUAGAGACUAGUGCUCUAUCUGAUGUGCGUGUGGUAAGAAUUUGUUCCCAAUUAGUAGGUUCUCUAUUUACCUCACUGAUUGUUUCUUUUGCUGUGAAGAAGCUUUUUAAUUUGAGUCCAUCCCAUUUAUUGAUUCUUCAAUUUAUGUUUUGUGCUUUAGGAGCCUUGUUGAGGAAGUCAGAUUCUAGGCCAACAUGGUGGGAAUUUUGACCUACUCUUUUUUCUAUUAGGCACAGGGUCUAUGUUCUAGUGCCUAAGUCUUUGAUCCAUUUUGAGUUGAGUUCCGUGCAGGGUGAGAGAGGUUGAAUUUCAUUUUGUUACAUGUGACUUUCCAUUUUUCCCAGCACCAUUUGUUAAAUGGGCUAUAUUUUUCUCCAGUGAAUAUUUUUGGCACCUUUGUCUAGUAUGAGAUAACUGCAUUUAUGUGGGUUUGUCUGUAUCUUCUAUUCUGUAUCAUUGGUCUAUGUGUCUGUUUUGGUACCCAUACCAUGCUAUUUUUGUUACUAUGGUUCUAUAGUAUAGUUCAGGUUUUAUUAUUGUUAUGCCUCCUGGUUCACUUAUCUUGCUAAGGAUUGCUUUGGCUAUUCUGGGUCUCUUAUUUUUCCAAACAAAUUUCAUGAUUGCUUUUUCUAAUACAAUAAGAAUGUUAUCAGUAUUUUAAUAGGAAUUUCAUUAAGUGCAGCAGCCCCCAGAAACACUUUUGGUAAUAUGCCCAUUUUGACAAUAUUGACUCUACCUAUCCAGGGGCAUGAAAGGUCUUUCCAUCUUCUAAGGUCUUCUUCAAUUUCUUUCUUUAGUAUUCUGUAGCUUUCAUUAUAAAGGUCUUUCACCUCUUUUGUUAGAUUGAUUCCCAAAUAUCUUAUUAUAUUUUUUGAGGCUGUUGUGAAUGGGGUAGUUUUCUAACUUCUCUUUCAGAGGAUGCGUUUGAUUUAUGGGAGUUGAUUUAUAUCCUACUACUUUGCUGAAUUCAUUUAUUGUUUCUAAAAGUUUUUUUUGGUGGGAUUUUUUAAAUCUUC
Molecule: long non-coding RNA, 1703 nt
Filed under: Marmota monax (woodchuck)
Lineage: Eukaryota; Metazoa; Chordata; Mammalia; Rodentia; Sciuridae
Source: RNAcentral